AUGAUGGACAGCGGAUUAAGCCCACCUUACCAUGUGUACGUCAUCAAAUCAAGCGAUUAUAUCUUCUGCGUUAUAAAGCCAAUAAAUCAUCUUCUUAUUAUAUCAUCCACAGGGAGCAUAUCAGAAACAUAUGUCACUAAUGAGAGCUUUGCUUCAUAUAAUUUGUAUUAUACAAAGUCUACAUGUAGUAUUCUCUCAAAAUGAAAAUAUGUGUGCGCAUAAGGAAACGGAAAUGACCAUUACACGAAGUAUUGAAGUUUCUUUGGAAGGUAAUAUUGAGCAAGUAGACUGCAGUGGCAGAGUUACGGUUAAGCAAUGUGAAGGCAAGUGUGUAUCCAAUGCAAAACCAACUGUGAACAGUAACACUGGAAUUAAUAGGACAUGUCAUUGUUGCAGGGAAGAAGGACAAACGAGAAAAACUGUUAUUUUAGACGAAUGUUAUGACGGCACAGAAUUAAUUCCAGACUUCACACCAACGACUUUAAUAACAGAACCGUCUGGUUGUGACUGUAAAAAAUGUGGAAACUAAUAUAACUACAUGUAUCACUAAUAAUUAAUAUGAUACUGA
Mytilus trossulus (common blue mussel) is the source of this 568-nucleotide long non-coding RNA. RefSeq lists it as uncharacterized. Lineage: Eukaryota; Metazoa; Mollusca; Bivalvia; Mytilida; Mytilidae. The record is from RefSeq and is a predicted model, not a curated record. The transcript has 3 exons.